This 443-nucleotide ribosomal RNA is filed under the name Staphylococcus aureus. Its description in RNAcentral is "partial 23S ribosomal RNA". It matches the Rfam family "Bacterial large subunit ribosomal RNA", at positions 2482 to 2925 of the family's 2925-position model. Lineage: Bacteria; Bacillati; Bacillota; Bacilli; Caryophanales; Staphylococcaceae. The record is from RNAcentral.
CUUAUCUCCCCCAAGAGUUCACAUCGACGGGGAGGUUUGGCACCUCGAUGUCGGCUCAUCGCAUCCUGGGGCUGUAGUCGGUCCCAAGGGUUGGGCUGUUCGCCCAUUAAAGCGGUACGCGAGCUGGGUUCAGAACGUCGUGAGACAGUUCGGUCCCUAUCCGUCGUGGGCGUAGGAAAUUUGAGAGGAGCUGUCCUUAGUACGAGAGGACCGGGAUGGACAUACCUCUGGUGUACCAGUUGUCGUGCCAACGGCAUAGCUGGGUAGCUAUGUGUGGACGGGAUAAGUGCUGAAAGCAUCUAAGCAUGAAGCCCCCCUCAAGAUGAGAUUUCCCAACUUCGGUUAUAAGAUCCCUCAAAGAUGAUGAGGUUAAUAGGUUCGAGGUGGAAGCAUGGUGACAUGUGGAGCUGACGAAUACUAAUCGAUCGAAGACUUAAUCAAAA